RNAcentral lists this transfer RNA (74 nucleotides) under Podarcis lilfordi (Lilford's wall lizard). RNAcentral describes it as "tRNA.Ile". Lineage: Eukaryota; Metazoa; Chordata; Lepidosauria; Squamata; Lacertidae. The record is from RNAcentral.
GCCUGGAUAGCUCGGUUGGUUAGAGUGUGGUGCUGAUAAUACCAAGGUUGUAAGUUCAAUCCCCAUAUGGGACA